Non-coding RNA from Pelobates cultripes (western spadefoot toad), 214 nucleotides. The record is from the annotation of a GenBank genome assembly. NCBI's taxonomy places the organism in Eukaryota, Metazoa, Chordata, Amphibia, Anura, Pelobatidae.
GGGCUCUAGCUGCAGUCUGGCUCCACUGGUCUGGUGUAGAACAGGCUCUCUGGAGGCGGUUUGUAACUGUGGUCACAAAAAUCAAUGUUCUGGGAGAACGGGAAGCAGCUCCAUUUUUUUGAGGACCCUUUACACAGCUCAAGGUCUGGGUCCCAGGGUCCACCUUCAUGUUCCAACAAUGAGUUUGUUCACAGGGGUGUGUGUGUGUGUGCGG